RNAcentral lists this long non-coding RNA (422 nucleotides) under Mytilus galloprovincialis (Mediterranean mussel). The record is from RNAcentral. Lineage: Eukaryota; Metazoa; Mollusca; Bivalvia; Mytilida; Mytilidae.
GGGGCUUUGGUUUUAACCUUUAUUAUUUUUAUUUUCAGAGUUAAGUUAAGUAAAUAUCAAAAUUUAAACAGAUAUAACACACCACAGUAUGCAAAAAAUUUGGAAGACAGACCACUUCGUAUCACAACAAUCUGACUAUGUUACAUGAAAAUACUUUUUUUCUCUAUUUUUUGGGGUGAAAGGGAAUGGAAAAAUCAAACUAGCGAUUGCUAUAGCAAUUAGAUAUUACGGAGACAUGGGUCGUCGUUUCAACUCAAGACCGAGUCAAACGAUAGUUACAUUGUUGUUAAAAUGUGUUCCGAAAAAUAAUGUUUUGUAUUGUUAAACAUCAAAUUUGGUGAGAGACAAAAAGUUUUAUUUCCCAUCAUUAUUGUUAUACACACACAUUGAUUGACAUAUAACGAAUUCUUAAAACUUUUUCG